Hippopotamus amphibius kiboko is the source of this 103-nucleotide small nuclear RNA. NCBI's taxonomy places the organism in Eukaryota, Metazoa, Chordata, Mammalia, Artiodactyla, Hippopotamidae. The record is from RefSeq and is a predicted model, not a curated record.
UUGCUUUGGCAGCACAUAUACUAAAACUGGAAUGAUACAGAGUAGAUUAGCAUGGCCCCUGCACAGAGGUGAGAUGCAAAUUCGUGAAGCGUUCCAUAUUUUU